This 627-nucleotide non-coding RNA is filed under the name Escherichia coli. RNAcentral's name for it is "partial 16S ribosomal RNA". The stretch from base 326 to 627 matches the Rfam family "Bacterial small subunit ribosomal RNA", at positions 1 to 299 of the family's 1533-position model. Lineage: Bacteria; Pseudomonadati; Pseudomonadota; Gammaproteobacteria; Enterobacterales; Enterobacteriaceae. The record is from RNAcentral.
CGCGUGUCUUCCUGAGCCGACUCCCUAUAAUGCGCCUCCAUCGACACGGCGGAUGUGAAUCACUUCACACAAACAGCCGGUUCGGUUGAAGAGAAAAAUCCUGAAAUUCAGGGUUGACUCUGAAAGAGGAAAGCGUAAUAUACGCCACCUCGCGACAGUGAGCUGAAAGCCGCGUCGCAACUGCUCUUUAACAAUUUAUCAGACAAUCUGUGUGGGCACUCGAAGAUACGGAUUCUUAACGUCGCAAGACGAAAAAUGAAUACCAAGUCUCAAGAGUGAACACGUAAUUCAUUACAAAGUUUAAUUCUUUGAGCAUCAAACUUUUAAAUUGAAGAGUUUGAUCAUGGCUCAGAUUGAACGCUGGCGGCAGGCCUAACACAUGCAAGUCGAACGGUAACAGGAAGAAGCUUGCUUCUUUGCUGACGAGUGGCGGACGGGUGAGUAAUGUCUGGGAAACUGCCUGAUGGAGGGGGAUAACUACUGGAAACGGUAGCUAAUACCGCAUAACGUCGCAAGACCAAAGAGGGGGACCUUCGGGCCUCUUGCCAUCGGAUGUGCCCAGAUGGGAUUAGCUAGUAGGUGGGGUAACGGCUCACCUAGGCGACGAUCCCUAGCUGGUCUGAGAGG